This 507-nucleotide ribosomal RNA is filed under the name uncultured bacterium. Its description in RNAcentral is "partial 16S ribosomal RNA". It matches the Rfam family "Bacterial small subunit ribosomal RNA", at positions 30 to 523 of the family's 1533-position model. The record is from RNAcentral.
AUUGAACGCUGGCGGCAUGCCUAACACAUGCAAGUCGAACGGCAGCAUGGUACGAUUUCGGUUGUACUGAUGGCGAGUGGCGAACGGGUGAGUAACACGUGGAGAUAUACCUUGAAGAGGGGGAUAACUUAGGGAAACUUAAGCUAAUACCGCAUAAGCUCUAAGGAGGAAAGCUGGGGACCUUAUGGCCUGGCGCUUUGAGAUUAGUCCACGUCUGAUUGCUAGUUGGUGGGGUAAGGGCUUACCAAGGCGACGAUCAGUAGCUGGUCUGAGAGGAUGGACAGCCACACUGGGACUGAGACACGGCCCAGACUCCUACGGGAGGCAGCAGUGGGGAAUAUUGGACAAUGGGGGCAACCCUGAUCCAGCAAUGCCGCGUGUGUGAAGAAGGCCUGAGGGUUGUAAAGCACUAUCGGUGGGGAGGAGGGAUAGUUGGUUAAGAGCUGAUUAUCUGGACGUUACCCAUGGAAGAAGCACCGGCUAACUCCGUGCCAGCAGCCGCAGUAA